This 253-nucleotide ribosomal RNA is filed under the name uncultured bacterium. RNAcentral's name for it is "partial 16S ribosomal RNA". It matches the Rfam family "Bacterial small subunit ribosomal RNA", at positions 524 to 776 of the family's 1533-position model. The record is from RNAcentral.
UACGUAGGGGGCAAGCGUUGUCCGGAUUUAUUGGGCGUAAAGAGCUCGUAGGCGGCUCGUCGCGUCAGCUGUGAAAUUCCGUGGCUUAACUGCGGGCUUGCAGCUGAUACGGGCAGGCUAGAGGCAGGUAGGGGAGAACGGAAUUCCCGGUGUAGCGGUGAAAUGCGCAGAUAUCAGGAGGAACACCGGUGGCGAAGGCGGCAUCCUGGACCGACAUUGACACUGAACGGCGAAAGCUAGGGGAGCAAACGGG